This is a long non-coding RNA of Daucus carota subsp. sativus, 6767 nucleotides long. RefSeq lists it as uncharacterized. The record is from RefSeq and is a predicted model, not a curated record. Lineage: Eukaryota; Viridiplantae; Streptophyta; Magnoliopsida; Apiales; Apiaceae. The transcript is spliced from 3 exons.
ACCAAAUUAAGCAUAAUGAAUAACUUAGAGAGAGAAAGCUCAAGAGAGAGAAGUGAUAGCUAAGAAGGAAAGCAGGAAAUUGAGAAUGAAAUCAUGAGGAAUUAAUAAAAGUUUCAAGCCUAAUUAAGAAUAUUUAUUAUCCGGAAGGCGAGCUCAAUUAUCCAAAUUGAGACAGGAAUAUUUUUAUUUACCAAAGGAAGCCAGUAAAGACAGAAUAAUGCACGAUUGAGAAGAAUAAUCCGGAAGCGCACAAUAGCACGAACAAGGACAAGGCGUGAGGCUGUGGCAAGACGAAGGGUGGGAAGACUUGUUCCCGUGACGAGGAUAAGUUUAAUAUCGACCUUGGACUUGUGGGGCAAGGUAUGCAAUGUAAAACAGGUAUGUUGAAGGGGUGUGACGGUCUAGAUCUGAGGGAUACGGAUCUGGGGGCGUUACAGAUUUGGUAUCAGAGCUGUGUUAUAUUCUUAGGACACAGGAAACCUAGGAAUAUAACGAGAGAGUGAGACAAUAAUACAAGAGAUAAGAUAUACGUAUAUGAUAGUUAUACAUCUACGAGAGCAGGCUAGGGUAUACAUGAAACCCAGAAAUCUUUAGUGGGACAUCAAACCCCAUAGUUAUGAUUACACAUAUGUGUAUACAAGUAUCUUUAAGAUAAGAAACUUAAGGUGGCAUUGCUUAAUUAUCCGUAAAGAUGUUAAUAUCCAGUUUUCUUCGAGGACACCCUUUUACACCCUAUCCUUAUGAAUAAUAUUGGUAGUGUCGCAUCAGAAGAAAUUAUGAUUACUGAUGGUAAUUCAGGGAACACGAAUCAUUGAGCCUUCACCAUUUGAGAUUAUUGGUUACCUAACCUAUUAGUUACCUAGUAUUUAUUGCUAUGCCAGAUGGAUAGGCAUCAAUUCUACCUCAUAAAUUUUUGUCAGAAAUAACCUCUACAAUAUCAUUGACUACCCAGAUAUUUACCUCCAUAUCUUGUUCUUUUAUUACCUAUAUCAUAGGGUAGAUAUGAUCAAGUGAUUGUUGGAUAUACUUAGACACUAUCAGCUGACUUUUCCAAAGGCUACAUCAUUCUCUUUUGAUUCCACUAAGAUGUUGACUCCUGAUCGGUACCAAUUCGAGUUCCAUACCUUUAUCAACUCCACCUCUAUUGUCGAGAUUCUUUUCUCAUAUUUUGCAAUUUUCCGCCCAUACAUAUAUAUUCAUAUACCAAGCCAUGAGCUCGAAUGUUACAACCAGAGAUUUCUACCCCCAAAGACUUCUGCUCCCAUCUCAUGUUAUAUUAAGAUAACGAUCUUUCUAUUACAAGGUUCCUUGUUUUCUACUUUGAAACUGUUUUAUCAAUUUCUGUUCCAAUUUCCACAUCAAUCUCAACACCAAAUUUUUAUUCUAACACCAAUCAGUUCAAGUUCUUUUUAUGCUCCAUAUGUUGGGAGCGAGACAGUACCAUUCUCGGCACACUUCACAUUGUAUGAUAGUAUGAGAUGUUAUCGAACUAUUACUUUGAGUUUUAGUUUUUAAUGACGUAUUGUUGGGGAUACGAGAAUUAUAUAUUUGUUCAGGAGAGCUCGGAUUCCUGGCUCGGGUAAUUAUGAUAAAGGAAUCUAUCAAAUAGUUAUUUAUGUAUUCGAGAGACUUCGGAUAGAUAUUCAACAGACUUUGUCGACGAGCUUCGGACACAUUGGAGCCAUUGUUGUUUAUUGAAAAUUACAAGAAUUUUGGUAUAAAGUUACAAAGAUAUUCAAACAUCGACGGUUCGGAUUUCUUUGGUAUAAUUUGAUCUUUUGUAAGAUAAAAUGUAUAAUUUAUGAGCAUCUCAAGUUCUAUUUAUGUUGUAUAUGAUUCAUGACUAUUGACAUUGUACGGUAACGAGCAUGAGAGCCUUGCAUUUCCUUAUUAUUACAAUGCAGAUUCGUACAUAAGAUCUUUCGAGCAAAUAGGGAUGUAGCUAGACAUCUUAUUACCCAUGAUUAAAUUAAUACCUUAGUGCUUAUUAGGACAGUUGUGUCUUCGGAUAAUGACAAAAUGGUCCUCGAACUUUGUGUGCAUAUGAUGAAGACCAGCGGAAAUGGACAGUUUUAUUUUUGAGAUGACUUAUGCAUGAUCUUUUGUACUUAAAAAUUGUUCAAUCCUUGAGCGCGAUAUCUUGUAUCACCUUUUUAUUAAAAAGCUUUCACAUACCUACCUCUUUUCAAAACCGCUUUUAUUUCUAAAACCACAUAUCUUUUGCUAAUAAAUGUGAAACUUUGGGCAUGUUGAUAUACUUCCUUGAACAAUUAUUAAACCUUAACUGUUUUUACCAUCUACCCUUUGUUUCAUAGACAAAACCCUUGUUAAACAUCUAUUAAACAAUUUUACACCAUUAUAAACAGUUGCUAUAUUUUGCAUUCUUGCAUUUCAAAUAAACCUCUACACCAUGUGAUAGUAACCUAUUUUGUUCCUCUCUUAUAGAAACAAUAUGGACUCUGAAAUUGGUCAACACCAAAAAAAAAAAAAAAAAAAAAAAAAAAACCACCAGAGAAUAUUCCAGCCAAUCCUGAUCUGAUUAAAACGCUCCUUGAUCUCUUACAACAACAUGCUCCAAACCUAUCAACCCAUACUAACGAAGCAUCAAUCGACCAACCACCUAAAUCAUUUGUUAUAUUUUAAAAAAAAAAAAAACUUUUAAGUUUAUACACCCCAUGAGUUGAAAGAAACCAUGGAUCCUAUUGAGGCUAGGACCUGGUUGAAAGAAAUUUAAAAAGGGAUUUUGAGAUUGUGGGAGUUGAGGAUGAUAAGGAAAACUCUAUUUGGCAAUAUAUGUGUUAAACAUGUAAGCUAACUAUUGGACGCUAAAAUGGGUCUAGAAGGGACUAGUUUUAUGACGUGGGAAUGCUUUACGAAAUUGUUCCUAUAGAAACAUUUUCCUAAAUACUAUGAGAAUCAUGUAACUUAGAUUCUGAUUAUGAAGCUAAAUUUACAUAACUUGCGAGGUUCGUACAACACUAUGUUGAUACUAAUGAAAAGAGAGCCCGACGUUUUCAACAAGUAUUGAAACCCUGGAUCCUGAGCAGCGUAGCUAUUUUGAACUUAACAAUUAUACGACUCUCGUUCAGAAGACUGCUAUCGUAGAAAGCGAGAGUGAGCUAUGCAACCGUGAAAAGAAUGGCAAGAAAUGGAGGGCACCAUAACCUGAUCAUAUCCUAGGAAAGAAGAUAUGUGACUAGAAUAUUUAGAAACUUUUUAUUAAAAGGCUAUUCAACAAGUAUGGAACACUUCAAAUCAGAAAUCGAGUAAGCCGCGGAGGGAAUCAAAGGUUCAGGCCUCCACAAAUUUCAAAUCUACUUCAAGGAGGAACACUAUUACCAGAAUGCAAAACAUAUGGGAAGAGGCAUUCAUUUCCAUGCUAUCAGGAAUCUACAUUUGUUUUAUCCGCGAUCAGAAAAGACAUUAUGAUUCAAAAUGCAAAUAGAAAGCUGUUACUCGAUUCAACUCUCAAAAGAUGGGCCACGUGGCCAGGGAUUGUCGAGCGCGACGUAAAGAAAACGCUAUUCUGAGAUUAUCAAUACCUAUAGAAAGAAGCAAGCCAAUAUCGUGCACCUUUAAUGUGACAAUGAAAGACGCUAUAGUCGAUGACGACAUUAUUUCAUGUACGCUUAUAAUAAAUCCUUAAGAUGCUUGUGUGUUGAUUGCUUCCGGCGCUAUCAAAUAUUGUAUUUUGUAAAUUUUAUGCAAAAAGUUGGGAAUUGUUCCGAUACCUCUAGAAGAAUCUACGAAUGUGGAAAUAGCGAAUCAGGAUGUGAAUUAUGUGGAUCAAGUGUAUCCUAGUUGUCAAGUAACGAUUCAAAAUAAAUUUUCAAAGUAGAUUUAAUUCAUUUUAAUUUAGGGGAGUUUGACGUGAUAUUUAGAAUGGAAUGGUUAACGAGUUAUGACGCUCAAAUUUAUUGUAGACGAAAAUGUAUACGUGAUAAUAGUGGAAAGAGAGUGAUUGUAAAAAGUGAAAAGCAAGAUAAGAAAAUUUUGAUCAUGAUAUAAUCCGAUGUCAGGCCUAUUUGGCGCACGUGAUAGAUACAAAGAUAUAAAGUACUAAAAUGGAAGAAACCUCAAUGGUAAAUGAGUAUAUGAAUGUGUUUUUUAAGAGUUACCGAGAUUACCCCAAAUAGGGAGAUUGAGUCCACUAGAGUCCUUGUGCCAAGUACUGAACCUAUAUCAAGAGCUCCCUAUAGAAUGGUACCAACAUAAAUGAAAGAGUCAGCAACAAGAAUUAUUAGAAAAGGAGUUAUUAGGCCAAGUGUAUCCUCGUGAGGAUUUGCGGUGUGGUUGUUAAGAUUAAAGAUGGAAGUAUAAGGUUGUGUAUUGAAUUUAGGAAAUUGAUUAAGGGUGACAAUUAAGAAUAAGUAUAAUUUUCCAAGGAUUGAUGAUUUGUUUGACCAAUUGCAAGGAGCAACUCACUUCUCUAAGAUUGAUAUAAGAUCUGGAUACCAUCGACUUAAAUAAUUAAGCCUGAAGAUGUGCCUAGGACAACUUUAGAACCAGAUAUGAACAUUAUGAGUUCUUAGUAAUGCCUUUUGGAUUAACCACUGCACAUGUAGCCUUUAUGGAUCUUAUGAAUAGUGUAUUCAAGAAAUAUUUGGAUAAAUUUGUGAUUAUUUUUCUUGAUGACAUUCUGAUUUACACUAAAACACGAAAAGAGGAUGCAGAGCAUCUAAGAAGCACAUUGAAAAAAAUUGAGGAAGGAAAACUUGUAUGUGAAAGUUUUAAAAUGCGAGUUUUGGUUGGGGCAUUACAAUUUCAUAGACAUGUAGUUUCAAAGGAUGGUAUAUCGGUAGACCCUGCAAAGAUUGCAACUCAUUAACACGAUUGGCCAGAAAGGGACAAAAGUUUGAAUGGACGCCAAAGUGCGAGGAAAUCUUUCGAAGAAUUAAGAAAAGACUUACAACGACUAAUGUAUUGGCGUUACCUGAUGAAAGUGGCAACUUCUUGAUUUAUAGUGAUGCGUCUCACAAAGGCUUACGAUAUGUAUUGAUGCAGCACGAGAAAGUAAUUGCUUACGCCUUUAGACAACUAAAAGACUAUGAGCUCGGGUAUCCUACCCAUGAUUUAGAGUUAGCGGUGAUUGUAUUCGCAUUAAAGACUUGGCAAUAUUGUCUAUAUGGUGAGAAAUGUGAGAUAUAAUUGACCGUAAGAGUUUGAAGUAUUUGUUCACAAAAAAAAAAUAUAUAUAUAUAUAUAUAUUGAAUAUGAGGCAGAGAAGAUGGUUAGAAUUGAUCAAAUGUUACGAUGUACCAUUAGUUAUUGACCUGGCAAAAGGAAAUGUAGUGACGGAUGCGCUAAGUCGAAAAGAAAGAUCAAAUAUGCUAACCCUACCUUUAGAAUUAAGAAAGGAAAUAGAAAGUCUAAAGUUGGAAAUAAAAAUUUGAGUUUAGAAGGAGAAAGACUUUACGAGAUGUUGUUACAACCUGGAAAACUAGGGGAAAAAAAAAAUUAAGAGAUGUCAAGAGAAAGUGAUGGAGAAGCAAAUGAAGGAAUUGACAUAAGAAAAGAUACUAUGUCUAGAGGAUGAGAAAGGAAUUCAGAGAUUUGCUAAUAGAAUUUGGAUUACUAGAGUAUUGGAGUUGAAAGGGGAGAUUCUGAGUGAAGCACAUGAUUCAAAAUAUUAUGUACCCCGAGAAGUAUGAAAAUGUAUCAAGAUCUUAAGAAACACAAUUAGUGACCAAACAUGAAUAGGGAGAUUGCAGAUUGAGUAAGAGUUUGACUUGUCAAAGGAUGAAAGAAGAGCACUAAAGAUCAAGCGGAUUAAUACAAUCUUUAGAGAUUUCGGACUAAAAAUACGAAUGUAAUAUAAUGAAUUAUAUUGUGGAGUUACUGUGAAUCCGAUCAAUUAUGAUGCCAUUUGGGUUAUUAUAGACAGACUCCCAAAAUUAGUUCAUUUCUACCAAUUAGUAAAAAGUACACCAUCGAAUGACUGGUAAGUGUGUAUCUAAAAAAAUGGCGACUCGACAUGGAGUCCCAGUAGCAAUAAUGAGAUGUAGAUGCAAGAUUCACUUCGAGGUUCUACCGAACUUUUCAAGAAUUGUAUAUGGAUUAAGUUGGACCUAAGUACUGCUUAUUAUCCACAAAUUGAUGACAUAGAGAAGGAACGAUUCAAACAGUUGAGGAGAUGUUAAAAGUUUGUUCGUUAGAUUUCAAAGGGAAGUUGGGAUUAUCAUUUGCUCUUAAGUGGAAUUCGCUAGUAAAAACAGUUAUCAUUCUAGGAGUGGGAUACCUUCUGAAACCAUAUAUGGUAGAAAAUGUAGAUCGCCACUUUGUUGGGAUGAAGUUGAAAAUAAGAAUAUUCUGGAACCAGUACAGACCAUAGAUUAAAAGUUUCAGGAGCUAAGGAAUAAGAAAGUAAAGUUAGUUAAAGUGAUAUGGCAAAAUCAAGCUGUAGAUGAAGCAACAUGAGAAUUAGAAUACGAAAUGAGGAGGAACCAUCCUAAAUUGUUAAGCGCUAGUCAUGAUUCCGAGGUCGGAAUCCUUUAAGGAGGAGAGACUGUAACGACCUCAAAUUUCAAGUACGUAAUUACGCAAUUAUUUAUUUAAUUAUUCAAUUUUGCUCAAGUCAAUGAUUUAAGAUAUUAAAUAUUUGUUUCAGAUUAUUUUAAGAGCGAAAAAUAAUAGUCAAGAUGGUAUGAUAAUUUUUUAAGGGCGCGAAUUUAUUCUGACGACUAGAUAUUAGUUAAUAAGCGUCCGAUAAAUAUAGAUCGAUAGUUAGUAGCGACGCGGGAUUAACGCGAAAAGUUGUAUAUAAUAUA